Molecule: long non-coding RNA, 496 nt
Organism: Glycine soja
Lineage: Eukaryota; Viridiplantae; Streptophyta; Magnoliopsida; Fabales; Fabaceae
Exons: 4
Source: RefSeq, a predicted model, not a curated record
GUAGAAGCAAACAAAAUUGGGGAAGGUUAAAGACAGCUAUGCAAAGGGCUUGUGCAAUCGUGGGUUGUUAUAGUGAUGAGAAUAUUAUCUGGGAGCAUUCCGUGGGUGACUAUGAUGAUUUUGCAUAAAAAGUCAACCUUGCUACAAAAGGUUGAAAGUCGUAGGAGAUUUCGUAUCAUCCGUUCCUGGGAUCAAGAUGGGUAUCGUGUUGCAGAGGUUGAAUGGAUACAAGAUAUUUAGCCACCAGGAUGAACAAGUGAAAGAGAGACUGUAAGUUCACUAAAAUUUUGUUAUGAAUGUGUUUGUAAGCUCAGUGUCAUGUUGGAUAGAAUGCUAGUUUAUUUGACUAUCUGCAUGCAUAUGAGAUUUUUUUUUGGGUGUAUAAUGGUGGUAAUGGGGCUUGCACUUAAGAUUCCAUGCAAACUACUAUAACUUCCACUGUUUGGUCGACCCUAGUGAUUUGAAUAAUGAGAUCUUUGAUUGCCCUUCAAGUUUA